GAUCAGUCACGCUCUCUCUACUCACGCACACACCACAUCCCAAAGUGCCCUGAUGGGGAAGAAAGAAGAAAAACAUUCUUGCUCUCUCGCUCUCUCCACCACCACCCUACUGCCUCUGAUCUGGCGGACUUAGUAAACACAAAUACUGUGUAGUAGUAGUAGUUUUUAGUUGUGUAUGAAUAGGGACAUGAAAUACAUUAUAUGAUAACAUGGAAAACACUGUCACGUUUAAAUUGUUUUAUUUUACCUUUAUUUAACCAGGCAAGUUAGUUAAGAACAAAUUCUUAUUUUCAAUGACGGCCUAGGAACAGUGGGUUAACUGCCUUGUUUAGGGGCAGAACGACAGAUUUGUACCUUGUCAGCUCGGGGAUUCCAAGACGCAUCAUCUUCAUGUGAUACGCACCCGCUCAAAACACCGCCGGAAGACACGUGUCGGCGGCAUCCAAUACUGUUGCAGUAUUUAGCGUUUGUUCGUUUUGAAAAAUGCAGAAGGAACCUCGUCUGUUGGAGUCAUAUGCUGCCAGUCGCAGCGGUUUUUGCCGAUUUUAAUCAUCCUAUUCCUGGCAACAUUAGGACAGAGGGACAAAUUACCCAGAUUGCCCAGGACUAAAUAGACGACAACAACAACGUGAGAUACUGAAGAUAAACCUACUAUCUUUUUUAACUUUAAAGUUCACAACGUUAUUUGAAAUGUCCCAGGGUUCUGGAAGAACAGGACGAGGACUCUCCCGGUCGCUGAAGGUAAAACCUAAGGGCGCUGGAGUAAAGCCCUUACUGCUUAUCGGCAGCAUCAAUCUAGGUGUGGUGCAGGCCAUUGAAAUCCCAUACCCGGAAGGUAUGGAUUCUGAGGCUGGGAAACAUCACAAGGGGGAAGUCUUGAGGAAACAUCCUGAGACUCUGACAGUGGAUUACAAAAAAGCACUGAGGAACAGAGUCAAAACCAACUAUGUUUUCUACACAGCGCACCCCACAGCCUGGCGUAGUGCCCUGCACCAAACCUACUCCGACACUGAAGAGAGAGACAUCAACAAUGCCGUACAGGUCAAAGUGUAUGUGGAUGACAGUCACUUAAAGGUUAUUACAGUGAAUCUUUAUCACACCGGUACCGUCGUGGUCCAAGGCUCUCAGACCCAGCUCAACAACUUUCAACAGGACUUUCAGGAACUGAAGGAAAAAGCUGAGCUGAAUAGAAGUAUUGUCACAUACCAAGGAGCAUGUUAGAAUUGCAAAUGUAUUGUGUUACAUUUGUGGAAAAUAUAGUGUGUGUUUAGAUAAGAAACAUCUUAAAAACAUAAAUUUGUACUUAAUUGUAUGCACUCAUACAUGAUAUAAAAUAUGUAUUUAAAAAAGAGAGAGAGUGUGUGUAUGUGUAAUACUGCCCUACCAAGUAAAAUAACAUAACCCCAAUUUUCUCCAGAACACAAUAGAGGCAGGAUACUUGUCCACAUGAUUAAGCAUGUAUUUAAUGUAGCAAAAAUGACAUGAACUCCUAUCAACCAAAUGAACAGUUACUGCCUUUUUGAUUGGUUGGGCAGCUACUCACUGGUCCUGUAGGUUGUCUGAGUUGGGAUGGUACUGUGUGUAUAAUACAGCUACUCACUGGUCCUGUAGGUUGUCUGAGUUGGGAUGGUACUGUGUGUAUAAUACAGCUACUCACUGGUCCUGUAGGUUGUCUGAGUUGGGAUGGUACUGUGUGUAUAAUACAGCUACUCACUGGUCCUGUAGGUUGUCUGAGUUGGGAUGGUACUGUGUGUAUAAUACAGCUACUCACUGGUCCUGUAGGUUGUCUGAGUUGGGAUGGUACUGUGUGUAUAAUACAGCUACUCACUGGUCCUGUAGGUUGUCUGAGUUGGGAUGGUACUGUGUGUAUAAUACAGCUACUCACUGGUCCUGUAGGUUGUCUGAGUUGGGAUGGUACUGUGUGUAUAAUACAGCUACUCACUGGUCCUGUAGGUUGUCUGAGUUGGGAUGGUACUGUGUGUAUAAUACAGCUACUCACUGGUCCUGUAGGUUGUCUGAGUUGGGAUGGUACUGUGUGUAUAAUACAGCUACUCACUGGUCCUGUAGGUUGUCUGAGUUGGGAUGGUACUGUGUGUCAGUACUCAUGUUGUUGUAGCGACCACACUGGUCAUCCAGACUGUAGGCCUGGUACUUAUCAGACCAGUCCAGCUCCAGAGUCUGCUUGGCAUCUCUGUUACACACACAGUAGGAGACAGUAAGGGGCAUAAAGCCAGUGGGAGGGUCUGCACUCAGGGUACAAUGGAUAGUGGUCGGUGCGAGGGUACUCUCACUCAAACUAUGAAAAGGAUAAAACGAGGCGGCCUUGAUACAAAGUGAUAAAAUGUGAUGAAUAAAAAGGAGAAUACGUUUGGGCUUCAAUGCCUUAACAUCAGUGCUGUUUAUCACCUGUUAGCACUUUUCAUAGGCACUUUUUGCAUCUCGGCCUCCUUGGUUUUUCCUUUGCAUGCUUUGCGGGUGAGUAGCUACGUAUUACAGACAGUAAUGGUUGGUUACACAUUAACUAUGCAACAGACUACAAACAUAAUUUAACUAGUUAAAAGG
Non-coding RNA from Salmo salar (Atlantic salmon), 2562 nucleotides. Lineage: Eukaryota; Metazoa; Chordata; Actinopteri; Salmoniformes; Salmonidae. The record is from RefSeq and is a predicted model, not a curated record.